RNAcentral lists this ribosomal RNA (434 nucleotides) under uncultured Ruminococcus sp. RNAcentral describes it as "bacterial SSU rRNA". It matches the Rfam family "Bacterial small subunit ribosomal RNA", at positions 341 to 792 of the family's 1533-position model. Lineage: Bacteria; Bacillati; Bacillota; Clostridia; Eubacteriales; Oscillospiraceae. The record is from RNAcentral.
ACGGGAGGCAGCAGUGGGGAAUAUUGCACAAUGGGGGAAACCCUGAUGCAGCGAUGCCGCGUGGAGGAAGAAGGUUUUCGGAUUGUAAACUCCUGUCUUAAAGGACGAUAAUGACGGUACUUUAGGAGGAAGCUCCGGCUAACUACGUGCCAGCAGCCGCGGUAAUACGUAGGGAGCGAGCGUUGUCCGGAAUUACUGGGUGUAAAGGGAGCGUAGGCGGGACGGCAAGUCAGAUGUGAAAUACAUGGGCUCAACCCAUGGGCUGCAUUUGAAACUGCUGUUCUUGAGUGAAGUAGAGGUAAGCGGAAUUCCUGGUGUAGCGGUGAAAUGCGUAGAUAUCAGGAGGAACACCGGUGGCGAAGGCGGCUUACUGGGCCUUUACUGACGCUGAGGCACGAAAGCGUGGGGAGCAAACAGGAUUAGAUACCCUGGUA